This 467-nucleotide ribosomal RNA is filed under the name uncultured bacterium. RNAcentral's name for it is "partial 16S ribosomal RNA". It matches the Rfam family "Bacterial small subunit ribosomal RNA", at positions 28 to 507 of the family's 1533-position model. The record is from RNAcentral.
GACGAACGCUGGCGGCGUGCUUAACACAUGCAAGUCGAACGGAAAGGCCCUGCUUUUGUGGGGUGCUCGAGUGGCGAACGGGUGAGUAACACGUGAGUAACCUGCCCUUGACUUUGGGAUAACUUCAGGAAAGUGGGGCUAAUACCGGAUAGGAGCUCCUGCUGCAUGGUGGGGGUUGGAACGUUUCGGCGGUUGGGGAUGGACUCGCGGAUUAUGAGCUUGUUGGUGGGUAGUGGCUUACCAAGGCUUUGCCGGGGAGCCGGCCUGAGAGGGGGACCGGCCACAAGGGGACUGAGAGACGGCCCAGACUCCUACGGGAGGCAGCAGUGGGGAAUAUUGCACAAUGGGCGGAAGCCUGAUGCAGCAACGCCGCGUGCGGGAUGACGGCCUUCGGGUUGUAAACCGCAUUCGCCUGUGACGAAGCGGGAGUGACGGUAAUGGGUAAAGAAGCACCGGCUAACUACGUG